UUAAAAGUAGUUUAUUUUAUUAAAAUUUUAAUUUGUGGAAUUAAGGAAGAAAGUAACUAAAAUUUUCUUUUAAA
Molecule: transfer RNA, 74 nt
Filed under: Bipalium admarginatum
Lineage: Eukaryota; Metazoa; Platyhelminthes; Tricladida; Geoplanidae
Description: tRNA-His
Source: RNAcentral